UAAUAGCUCACUAGUCGAGAGGUCCUGCGCCGAAAAUGUCCGGGGCUGAAACACGACACCGAAGCUUAGGAAUCACAUAGUGAUUGGUAGAGGAGCAUUCUUAAAACCGACGAAGCUGUACCGGAAGGAGCAGUGGAGGGAUAAGAAGAGAGAAUGCCGGAAUGAGUAGCGAGAGGAAGGUGGGAAUCCUUCCGGCCGAAUAUCUAAGGUUUCCAGAGUAAAGCUGAUCUGCUCUGGGUAAGUCGGGGCCUAAGGCGAGGUCGAAAGACGUAGUCGAUGGAUAACAGGUUGAAAUUCCUGUACCGCAUAUAAACAGAACUGUGGGGACACAGACAGGGAAUGGAAUCCGGGAGUGGAGAUCCCGGUGCAAGCGAGGUAGGAGUGCUGUUGGCAAAUCCGCAGCACGAUCUGAAGACGUGACGCGUACCGAACAUAAGUAGGGAAGUCCAGGCCCCUGGCUGUCAAGAAAAGCCGCUAUCGUUUUAUAUGUGCCCGUACCGCAAACCGACACAGGUGGAUGAGGAGAGAAUCCUAAGGCCGACGGGAGAAGUAUUGUUAAGGAACUCGGCAAAAUGACUCCGUAACUUCGGGAGAAGGAGUGCCAUGAGAGUGGCCGCAGAGAAAUGGCCCAAGCAACUGUUUAGCAAAAACACAGGUCUAUGCAAAACCGCAAGGUGAAGUAUAUGGGCUGACGCCUGCCCGGUGCUGGAAGGUUAAGGGGAGAGGUUAGCGCAAGCGAAGCUUUGAACUUAAGCCCCAGUAAACGGCGGCCGUAACUAUAACGGUCCUAAGGUAGCGAAAUUCCUUGUCGGGUAAGUUCCGACCCGCACGAAAGGCGUAAUGAUUUGAGCGCUGUCUCGACAAUGCACCCGGUGAAAUUGAAAUACCAGUGAAGAUGCUGGUUACCUGCGCCAGGACGGAAAGACCCCAUGGAGCUUUACUCCAGCUUGAUACUGGGAUUCGGUAUUGCAUGUACAGGAUAGGUGGGAGGCUUAGAAGUGGUUACGCCAGUAGCCAUGGAGCCGCUGUUGGGAUACCACCCUUGCAGUACUGGGUUUCUAACCAGCAGCCGUGACCCGGCUGGGGGACAAUGUCAGGUGGGGAGUUUGACUGGGGCGGUCGCCUCCGAAAGGGUAUCGGAGGCGCUCAAAGGU
This 1154-nucleotide ribosomal RNA is filed under the name human gut metagenome. Its description in RNAcentral is "bacterial LSU rRNA". It matches the Rfam family "Bacterial large subunit ribosomal RNA", at positions 1135 to 2317 of the family's 2925-position model. The record is from RNAcentral.